UACGUAGGUGGCAAGCGUUGUCCGGAAUUACUGGGCGUAAAGGGCGCGUAGGCGGCACCUUAAGUCAGAUGUGAAAACCCAGGGCUUAACUUUGGGACUGCAUUUGAAACUGAGGAGCUAGAGUGCCGGAGAGGAAAGCGGAAUUCCUAGUGUAGCGGUGAAAUGCGUAGAUAUUAGGAGGAACACCAGUAGCGAAGGCGGCUUUCUGGACUGUAACUGACACUGAGGCACGAAAGCGUGGGGAGCAAAC
Molecule: ribosomal RNA, 250 nt
Filed under: uncultured bacterium
Lineage: Bacteria
Description: partial 16S ribosomal RNA
Rfam family: Bacterial small subunit ribosomal RNA
Source: RNAcentral